GACGAACGCUGGCGGCGUGCUUAACACAUGCAAGUCGAACGGAAAGGCCCUGCUCUUGUGGCGUGCUCGAGUGGCGAACGGGUGAGUAACACGUGAGUAACCUGCCCUUGUCUUUGGGAUAACUUCAGGAAACUGGGGCUAAUAUCGCAUAUGAGCUCCUGCUGCACGGUGGUGGAGGGUAAGUUGCGGCGUUUGGGGAUGGACGCGCGGUCUAUCAGCUUAUUGGUUGGGUAGUGGCGUAACAAGGCAUCAAGGGGUAGCCGGACUGGCAGGGUGAGCGGCCCCAUUCGGCCUGGGGUACCGGCAAGACGGCUACGGGGGGAAGCGGUGGGAAUCUUUGCACAAUAGGCCGAAGCCGGGUGCAGCAUCGCCGCGUCCGGAAUGACGGCUGUUAGAUUAUAAACCGCGUUCGCCUGUGACGAAGCGUGAGUGACGGUAAUGAGUAAAAAAGCACCGGCUAACUACGUG
RNAcentral lists this ribosomal RNA (468 nucleotides) under uncultured bacterium. Its description in RNAcentral is "partial 16S ribosomal RNA". It matches the Rfam family "Bacterial small subunit ribosomal RNA", at positions 28 to 507 of the family's 1533-position model. The record is from RNAcentral.